UGUAUAGGGUCAUUAUUGCAGUGCCCACCAGCACUCUGCUACACAAUUCUGUUUAACCAACACGUCAUUUUAGCGGAGAGGAAACCCAGGGAGGUGAAGUUACUUGCCCAAGGUCACCCAGCUAGUAAACGACUAAGUGCAAAUACAUCCCCAGCCUGUGCUCUUCCUGCAGAAGUGGUCCGCUGUUAGGGUGGGUCCAAGGAGGCAUCCCAGAGCCAAGCACAUCUAAUUUGGCUCUUGAACGAGUAGUCUUCAAGGGGGAUGGUCAUUUCAGGCCGAGGGAGCAUGUGUGCAAAGACACAAAGGCAUGAUACCGGCUGGCUGGCUGGAGGGACCUGUGUGGCAGGAGUAUGGGAGACAUGGCUAAGGUGUUGAUGCUGAUGAAGUUAGAGAGAGAAAGGAAGCCAGACAUGGGAGGAGGUCUUUGCAUGCCUACAUAAAGAGCUCGGGAUUUAUUUUGUAGUCAGUGAUUUUUAAAGUGUGGUCCUGGGAACCCUGGGUGUCUCUGAGAUCCUCACAGGGCCCAGUGAAAUCAAAAUUAUUUUCCUACUAAUGCUAAACGGUAUUUGCUUUUUUCAUUCUCAUUCUCUCACAAGUGUACAGUGAAGUGUUCCAUACGACAUACGACAUCGCAACAGAUUAAGUGCAGAAACACCUUUUAGAAUCCAGCUGUCUUAAACCAGGCGUUAAAAGAGAUUUGCACAAAGUUUUCUGCCAUGUGAGACCCCUGGGUCACUGUCACCAGCACCAAGACCGUCACCAGAUGAAUUCCCUGGACUUUGGACUUCCCAGCCUCAGAAACUGUUGUUGCCUUUUGUGACUGCUUUUCUGUUUCAAGCCUGUCUAAGAUCAUCAAACAAACAGUUUAAACAGAUUUCAUCUGUAUACUAAACUUGGGAUCAGAAGAAGGGUUGGAAAUUUUCUGAUCUGAUUCACCAGGAACCCUGAACCUCUUAGAAAGGGUCUCGGUCUCAUGUCCCCUUACAGGCAACUGUAACAUUGAGUGGCAAUUGUGACACAGUGGAGAACACAUUAGACCUGACUUCAUGUUUUAGCUCUGCCACAUACCAUGUGAACCUGGACAAGCAUCUUGACCUUUCUAAGCCCCUUAGCUCUCUGAGUU
Molecule: long non-coding RNA, 1123 nt
Organism: Galeopterus variegatus (Sunda flying lemur)
Lineage: Eukaryota; Metazoa; Chordata; Mammalia; Dermoptera; Cynocephalidae
Exons: 3
Source: RefSeq, a predicted model, not a curated record